This 505-nucleotide ribosomal RNA is filed under the name uncultured bacterium. RNAcentral's name for it is "bacterial SSU rRNA". It matches the Rfam family "Bacterial small subunit ribosomal RNA", at positions 412 to 925 of the family's 1533-position model. The record is from RNAcentral.
CGGCCUUCGGGUUGUAAACCUCUUUUAGUAGGGAAGAAGCGUAACAGUGACGGUACCUGCAGAAAAAGCACCGGCUAACUACGUGCCAGCAGCCGCGGUAAUACGUAGGGUGCAAGCGUUGUCCGGAAUUAUUGGGCGUAAAGAGCUCGUAGGCGGUUUGUCGCGUCUGCUGUGAAAACCCGAGGCUCAACCUCGGGCCUGCAGUGGGUACGGGCAGACUAGAGUGCGGUAGGGGAGAUUGGAAUUCCUGGUGUAGCGGUGGAAUGCGCAGAUAUCAGGAGGAACACCAAUGGCGAAGGCAGAUCUCUGGGCCGUAACUGACGCUGAGGAGCGAAAGCAUGGGGAGCGAACAGGAUUAGAUACCCUGGUAGUCCAUGCCGUAAACGUUGGGAACUAGAUGUGGGGACCAUUCCACGGUCUCCGUGUCGCAGCUAACGCAUUAAGUUCCCCGCCUGGGGAGUACGGCCGCAAGGCUAAAACUCAAAGGAAUUGACGGAAUCGAAUU